RNAcentral lists this ribosomal RNA (433 nucleotides) under uncultured bacterium. Its description in RNAcentral is "partial 16S ribosomal RNA". It matches the Rfam family "Bacterial small subunit ribosomal RNA", at positions 29 to 507 of the family's 1533-position model. The record is from RNAcentral.
AACGAACGCUGGCGGCAUGCCUAACACAUGCAAGUCGAACGAGACCUUCGGGUCUGGUUGCGCACGCGUGCGUAACGCGUGGGAACCUGCCCUUAGGUUCGGAAUAACUCCCCUAAAGGGGUGCUAAUGCCGGGUAAUGUAUUCGGAUAAAAGAUUGAUCGCCUUUGGGUGGGCCCGCGUUGGAUUAGCUAGUUGGUAGGGUAAAAGCCUACCAAGGCGACGCUCCAUAGCUGGUCUGAGAGGAUGAUCAGCCACACUGGGACUGAGACACGGCCCAGACUCCUACGGGAGGCAGCAGUGGGGAAUAUUGGACAAUGGGCGAAAGCCUGAUCCAGCAAUGCCGCGUGAGUGAUGAAGGUCUUAGGGUUGUAAAGCUCUUUUACCCGGGAUGAUAAUGACAGUACCGGGAGAAUAAGCACCGGCUAACUUCGUG